GCUCAGGAUGAACGCUGGCGGCGUGCCUAACACAUGCAAGUCGAGCGAAGCGAUUUAGCGGAAGUUUUCGGAUGGAAGUUAAAUUGACUGAGCGGCGGACGGGUGAGUAACGCGUGGGUAACCUGCCUCAUACAGGGGGAUAACAGUUAGAAAUGACUGCUAAUACCGCAUAAGCGCACAGCAUCGCAUGAUGCAGUGUGAAAAACUCCGGUGGUAUGAGAUGGACCCGCGUCUGAUUAGCUAGUUGGUGAGGUAAAGGCCCACCAAGGCGACGAUCAGUAGCCGACCUGAGAGGGUGAUCGGCCACAUUGGGACUGAGACACGGCCCAAACUCCUACGGGAGGCAGCAGUA
This 352-nucleotide ribosomal RNA is filed under the name uncultured bacterium. RNAcentral's name for it is "bacterial SSU rRNA". It matches the Rfam family "Bacterial small subunit ribosomal RNA", at positions 22 to 356 of the family's 1533-position model. The record is from RNAcentral.